UUCAAAGGGGCUAAGGUUAGAAUAUAUGGUUCCAGUGUAGCUGAUGAGGAAUGAUCAGGUGGUGGUACUUAAAAGUUGGUGCCUGGCCAUUGUGGCCUAAUCACAGCCAUCCAGGGGGGUGCAGUUGGGUAGGCCUCACCAUUGCUUUCCAUGUGCCUGGGUGGUUGGGGCCUAUGCAGUGUGAUGUAGUAUGACCACUGUCCUUAACUCCUCAUUUUAACCUACCUACUACAGAGGUCCAGGUUUCUGGUGCUAGCUGCAGCGCUGUGUUGGACACCCAAUUUCUAUCUGGCCUUGGGACGGUGCAAGAAAGUCGUGGCUUGUUAAUUCAGAAACUCAAUUUCCAGCAAGAGUCCAUCCCAUUUGUAACUUGUAUGGACAUGGAGGUUCCCUUGGGACCGAUGAUAUAGAUUGGUACUAUUUCUUAUACCUGUUGUCCACCUGGGGUAGCUGGUAGGCAAUAACUUGUUCAGGGCAGUAGGGGUCUUUUGAGAUAGAGAUCUCUUUGAGAUAUGACAUGUGAGGUGCAUGGGCUGUGUGCUCUUAUUGUCAUUCACUAUGGAGUACGCUAGCCCCAGCUAUUUCCUUGAUAUCAGAUUCAACACAAUCAAGGGUUUGUCAGGCCUGUCUCAUUGAAUGGCAUGGCUGGCUGACCACCUCUUAAGAGGACAAGACCUCCAAGCAAAGAAACCAAGCUGGUUUUGGUUGGACUCACACAAUAAAUUGAAUUGAAUUGAAUUUAUUUGAGCUGUGGCUGGCUGUGAGAUACAUUUCUAUUCAAACCUUUGGCGUAGGACAACCUGCCCUGGUCUGGUCAGGCAGGGCACAGUGGGCAGCUUGCGUGGGGGUACAGCCACUGGCCACCACUCCGCUCCUUGUGUUAGAUGAUGUCCUUUGGAGAUUAUUAGUGCUUCUUUAUCUUGCAUUAGCUAGGCAUAUGGGAAGCACCUCUUGCUGUUGCAGGAUUGGAGCACAGAGCAUUAAGAUGAUCUGUUUUCUUAUAACUUUAGGGGCAGAUCUGUAUCAGAUUCAGUAAACUAUCGGCGAUAAAGCCAUCAAUGUCGCUUUGCUUGCUCGUUCAGAGACAGGCAUUCGGUCACAUGGUUUUGAAUGGCUAGAUUCAUUGUGUGUGGGUGCGUGCUCACUAAUAAUGUGUGUGAUUAUGUCAACUAACAUUGUUAUUCAGUUUGUCAGCCUUUGGAGAAACCGGAGGGGGCGUUUGUUGUGUCAGCAGGUCCUGUCCAGAAUCAAAUCAUAACGUGCCUACACUUGGUUGUAAUCUCACGUGGCCAUGGCAUUUUUCUUCCGGCCUGCUGCUCUAUGCAGCUGGAGAGCUCCAAGUUCCCAAACGCCAGAAUAUUCCAACACUAGAUUGGAAAUAGGAUCAAGACUGGACCUGCGCACGGACCAUCUCUCCUACAAUUUCCAACAAGCUCGUGAAUGAGAUGAAUCAGAUUUUUGUGACCCCAAUUCCUUCUCCAUUACUCUGCUGCAGCCGAUCUCUGGGAUUGGAUUCUUCCCGUGCGCACUGAAGACUGACGUGGUAGGGAGAAGGCCUGGCCAGAAACUGGUAUGCUUUCGGAUGGCUUUUCACCCUCGCAGGGCCUGCAUGGUGUCAUGCAUGCUGGUACUCGCUUUCGGUCAGCAUAAAGUUGGUCUUUGGUGAAGGGAUACAAAAAGUGAAGCAAGGGCUCCUGAUUACCCCGAGGAUGAACAUACAUCUGAAAUAGUUUGGAACAAACGAUUAACCCAGACUACCCUACCGGUGAAGAAUAUAGCUGUUGUGAAGAAAUACAUUCACAAACGAGAUUAGCCCAUGCAUUCUAUUUCUAGAUACUAUUAUCAGCCAAGGAAUUAUCAUGAAGAUGCUGAGAGAAACACCUCUUCAUGUUAAGAGUGAGAACUUUUGUCAUGGCAUUUAUUGAUCAGGCUCAA
Molecule: long non-coding RNA, 1935 nt
Organism: Triticum aestivum (bread wheat)
Lineage: Eukaryota; Viridiplantae; Streptophyta; Magnoliopsida; Poales; Poaceae
Exons: 3
Source: RefSeq, a predicted model, not a curated record